Long non-coding RNA from Musca domestica (house fly), 1050 nucleotides. RefSeq lists it as uncharacterized. The transcript has 3 exons. The record is from RefSeq and is a predicted model, not a curated record. NCBI's taxonomy places the organism in Eukaryota, Metazoa, Arthropoda, Insecta, Diptera, Muscidae.
AAAAAUACCUAAAACCUGUAUUGUUUCCAAUUAAAAAAAAGUUAUAAAGUGUCAGUCGGGUUUGCCGGCAUAUGUACAACCUCACCCAAUAUUCGGUUCUGAAGGAAUGGGGUAAUGUGGUCCAUUUCGUAUCGGGCCUAAAUAAAUAUGAUACAAAUAUUGUUAAAAUGUGCGUGAGGUACCAGAUGCAGUAGACCCAAGGAUUGCAAUUCCAUUCGUCGUCUAAAACAGAUAAAAAUAUUGGUACCAUAAAAAUUAUAAGAAAAUCGAAAUCAUAAAUUCCAUAUUGGCAUGUUCCUCAAGUUAUGACAGAAAAAAAUACCGAAAAUUGUGACCCUUUGUGGGUGAGGGAGAACUGGAUGCUUAUUCAAUACCUUGAACCCGAUGUAGGGAACGUACCAGAAGAAAUGGUCAGAUUUUUACCAUCUUUAUAACAGAUCUUGUGUUGUUCAAAAUGUUGAGAAGUCUGAAUGGGAUCGGCUGUAAAUUUGGCAUUUUAUGAGCUUCACGGAUAUUAAGAAUUUGAUUUUUUAGAGGAGGUACCAGAGGGAGAGGAUCGAUAUAUUCCAUCUUCAAGGCAGAUUUCGUGUUAGUAGAAAUAAUUGGAUGUUUGAAAUAUGAAGAGAACCGUAUGCAUAUUUCGGAUUUUAUAAUCGUGUUUGCUAUUCAAAACUUUCACCCUUUGUGGGGGACGCACCAGAAGGAAUUGCUCGAUCUCUACCAUCUUAAUAACAGAUUUUCUGUUGGUAGAAAUAUUGAUAUAUGCCAAGUCUGAAUGGUCUCAGAUAUUAAUUUCACGAUUUAUGAGCUUCAUGGAUAUUCAAAACUUUGACCCUUUGUUGCGGAGGUACCAGAAGAAGUGUAGCGAUAUAUUCCAUUUUCUCGCCAGACCAUUGGUUAACAAAAUGUUGUGUUGCGUGUAAUUUGAAGAUAAUCGGGCUCUUACAUCACAUUUUGUAAGAGUUAUAAUUAUUCAAAAUGUUGACCCUAUGUGGGGAAGGUACUUGAUGCAGUUGACCGAUAUUGUCUAUUUUAGUACCUGACCUAGCA